RNAcentral lists this ribosomal RNA (426 nucleotides) under uncultured bacterium. Its description in RNAcentral is "bacterial SSU rRNA". It matches the Rfam family "Bacterial small subunit ribosomal RNA", at positions 468 to 896 of the family's 1533-position model. The record is from RNAcentral.
AAUGACGGUACCUGAAUAAGAAGCCCCGGCUAACUACGUGCCAGCAGCCGCGGUAAUACGUAGGGGGCAAGCGUUAUCCGGAAUUACUGGGUGUAAAGGGUGAGUAGGCGGCAUGGUAAGCCAGAUGUGAAAGCCUUGGGCUUAACCCGAGGAUUGCAUUUGGAACUAUCAAGCUAGAGUACAGGAGAGGAAAGCGGAAUUCCUAGUGUAGCGGUGAAAUGCGUAGAUAUUAGGAAGAACACCAGUGGCGAAGGCGGCUUUCUGGACUGAAACUGACGCUGAGGCACGAAAGCGUGGGGAGCGAACAGGAUUAGAUACCCUGGUAGUCCACGCCGUAAACGAUGAGCGCUAGGUGUCGGGGAGGAAUCCCCGGUGCCGCAGCUAACGCAAUAAGCGCUCCACCUGGGGAGUACGACCGCAAGGUUG